CAAUUAUGUAUAAAUAAUAAUAAUAAUAAUAAUAAUAAAAAUAAAAGAAACUAAUAAAUAGCGGCGUAACUUUAUACGCAAUGGAUCAUGGAUGACCGAUUUAGUUCCGCUUUCAGUUUCCUGCCAAUGCGGCCACAGUUGUAAGAUGCUCUCGCUCUCUCUCGAGUUAUGCUGAAAUUUCGGACAAACAGCCAAGCAGUUCAGUGCUGAAAUGGGUCCACCGGAAUUUCAUAAUAAGCAGAGUCGUGCUGAAUUCUGUCGAUGAACUCUGUGCUGCAAUUUGGAUGGUGGGGGAACAAAACUCCUUUUAAGCCUAAGUCGGAGGAUUGUUGGGAGGAAGUCUCACAUUGAUCAUGAGUUUAUUAUAGAUGGGAAGUUAGACCAUGGGAAGCUUCCAACAAGAAUCAAACUAGUUGGAGUUCCACAACUAUUAGCCUCUGAGAACACAAUCAAGGUCAGUUUGUUUUUUA
Cucurbita maxima (winter squash) is the source of this 470-nucleotide long non-coding RNA. RefSeq lists it as uncharacterized. The record is from RefSeq and is a predicted model, not a curated record. NCBI's taxonomy places the organism in Eukaryota, Viridiplantae, Streptophyta, Magnoliopsida, Cucurbitales, Cucurbitaceae. The transcript is spliced from 3 exons.